CUAAGGCAUACUCAUACAUCAUGUUAUGUACUAGGAUGUUUGCACUAGUUCACCAUGCCCAUGCACCAUGUUUAUAUGUUAUAGGAUGAUUGCACUAGUUUCACGAAGGUGACGCAUUGCAUACUAUGUUGUUGAUGUGGAUGAAUGUUGAAUGAUCCAUUAGCCCUUGUAUGUCAUGAUAGCUCAUGUGAGUCCAGGUGUGCCUGCUACGGCUCUACGCCCCUGGCACUAUGACUGAUUAUGGUAGUCCGGGUGUGCCUGCUACGGCUCUACGCCCCCGGCAUGUAUAAGUAAGAAAGAUAGGGGCUAAAUGGUGACAAGUUCAUCCUUGUUGUGAAAUGUUUGUGUUAUGACGCAUUUCAUGAAAGCAUGA
RNAcentral lists this long non-coding RNA (373 nucleotides) under Manihot esculenta (cassava). Its description in RNAcentral is "long non-coding RNA (MESC_LNC012069)". Lineage: Eukaryota; Viridiplantae; Streptophyta; Magnoliopsida; Malpighiales; Euphorbiaceae. The record is from RNAcentral.